RNAcentral lists this microRNA precursor (89 nucleotides) under Marmota monax (woodchuck). Lineage: Eukaryota; Metazoa; Chordata; Mammalia; Rodentia; Sciuridae. The record is from RNAcentral.
AUAAACCUCUUUCCUUUAUAAAGUACUAAGUCUCAGGUAUUUAAAAUAAAAUACCUGAGACUUAGAACUUUAUAAAGGUCUAAGAGAGU